Molecule: ribosomal RNA, 510 nt
Filed under: Triticum aestivum (bread wheat)
Lineage: Eukaryota; Viridiplantae; Streptophyta; Magnoliopsida; Poales; Poaceae
Description: partial small subunit ribosomal RNA
Source: RNAcentral
AUGGCUGGUCUUGCCGCCUGCAACCCAGCCAAAAAGAAUGACCAUGGCCAUUGGAGGAAAGUUUGCAAGUCAUUGUUUCAAGAGAAGGUGGCUCCACUUACCCUGGAUGGAGUCACAAGGAUACUCGAUUACUGCUACAAUGAUUUGCCUCCAGAUCUCAAGACCUGCUCAUUGUACUUGAGCAUAUUUCUAAAGGGUUUGAAGAUUUGUACGAAGCGCCUGACCAGGAGAUGGAUAUCUGAAUGCUUUGUCACUGAGAAGCAAGGUCUGACAGCAGAGGAGGUCCCAGAAACAUACUUCAAUCAACUCAUAAGUAGGAAGAUAAUACGCCCUGUUGAUCACAACCGCAACGGCAAGGUAAAAUCCUUUAAAGUUCACGAUAUGAUUCUUGAAUAUAUCGUGUCCAAAGCAAGCCAGGAAAAUUUUAUCACUGUCGUCGGCGGGCACUGGUUGAUGCCAACUCCUAGCAACAAAGUCCGUCGACUCUCCAUGCAGAGUAGUGGUUCUUAA